GGGUAUAUAGUUAAAUCGGUAUAACGGUUGGUUUUUACUCAAUGCGAUGUAGGUUCGAGUCCUAUUAUACCUA
RNAcentral lists this transfer RNA (73 nucleotides) under Blastobotrys adeninivorans. RNAcentral's name for it is "tRNA-Lys". It matches the Rfam family "tRNA". Rfam says of the family: Transfer RNA (tRNA) molecules are approximately 80 nucleotides in length. The record is from RNAcentral. Lineage: Eukaryota; Fungi; Ascomycota; Dipodascomycetes; Dipodascales; Trichomonascaceae.